Long non-coding RNA from Leopardus geoffroyi (Geoffroy's cat), 125 nucleotides. RefSeq lists it as uncharacterized. The transcript has 3 exons. The record is from RefSeq and is a predicted model, not a curated record. NCBI's taxonomy places the organism in Eukaryota, Metazoa, Chordata, Mammalia, Carnivora, Felidae.
GCUACACUGUCAUUAAGAGGAGGGGGUGGGUCUUACAUCUUAUUGUAUUCUCAGCACCUGGCUUAAUGCAACUAAAAAAAUAAUCACUCAAGUUUUUGUUGAAUGAAUAAAUGACUGGCUCCAUC